GACGAACGCUGGCGGCGUGCUUAACACAUGCAAGUCGAACGGAAAGGCCCUGCUUUUGUGGGGUGCUCGAGUGGCGAACGGGUGAGUAACACGUGAGUAACCUGCCCUUGACUUUGGGAUAACUUCAGGAAACUGGGGCUAAUCCCGGAUAGGAGCUCCUGCUGCAUGGUGGGGGUUGGAAAGUUUCGGCGGUUGGGGAUGGACUCGCGGCUUAUCAGCUUGUUGGUGGGGUAGUGGCUUACCAAGGCUUUGACGGGUAGCCGGCCUGAGAGGGUGACCGGCCACAUUGGGACUGAUAUACGGCCCAGACUCCUACGGGAUGCAGCAGUGGGGAAUAUUGCGCAAUGGGCGGAAGCCUGAUGCAGCAACGCCGCGUGCGGGAUGACGGCCUUCGGGUUGUAAACCGCUUUCGCCUGGGACGAAGCGUGAGUGACGGUAGUGGGUAAAGAAGCACCGGCUAACUACGUG
This 468-nucleotide ribosomal RNA is filed under the name uncultured bacterium. Its description in RNAcentral is "partial 16S ribosomal RNA". It matches the Rfam family "Bacterial small subunit ribosomal RNA", at positions 28 to 507 of the family's 1533-position model. The record is from RNAcentral.